This is a long non-coding RNA of Neocloeon triangulifer, 1670 nucleotides long. RefSeq lists it as uncharacterized. The record is from RefSeq and is a predicted model, not a curated record. The transcript has 3 exons. NCBI's taxonomy places the organism in Eukaryota, Metazoa, Arthropoda, Insecta, Ephemeroptera, Baetidae.
CUGGCGGUCGCUCGAGUUGACAAAAGUGUUGGCCGCGUAUCGCCGGAACAGCGAGCUUUUGCCCACGCCGUACUCGCCGCAGAGGAUCACCUUCUGCUCGGGUACCUUGGUCGACGCCAUCCUGCUUCCGGACACCGCUCACGACUUAAGACGCAUGCUGUCCGAACGCAGGAUUCUCGACGCAGUUUGUCUCGGCCUCGAAGAACGAAAAUCGCAGGCAGGCCAGGCAGGGUGUUGCGUUUUCGCCAGACAUAUGACUUGCAAACAAAUGGGAGGGGCGUCGCCAUUGGCCAUCGGAUUUUAGCCCGAAAGCGCGCGAAAGGGAACGAGAGCUUGCGUAUGUAAUUCAUUAUGCAUUAUGCAUGAGCGUACUGAACAUUUACGUUAAGUUUUAGUUUAUUUUAUUGGCAAGCAGAGCAUUGUGAAAAACAUUUUAUCUGUUCCCAUUACUAAUUAUUCAUGGCGAUUGCACAUUCCAUUGUUUGCAAGUCGCGUAUGGGAUACGUUGCUGCUUUUUGUGUUCACACCGAUUUGUAAAUUUUUCUGAUAGGAUUUCGAGAGCUGCAGAAGCUGACGAGGAAUAGAAGUGGCCUUGAUACUUGAUGUCACACAAAAAGUCUAACGGCGGCGGCAAUUAAAAAUAUAUAGGCAGGGCAACCGACGCGAGCAUUAACAUUAAAUGCAUUUCUCAAUACAUUUGAAUUUUAGAGAGAGAAUCCCCAGUUGCCAAAUAAGGCUCACAAUAUCUCAUUGUCAAAUGGCAAUCAUCUAGGUAAUAUAACAAUCACGAUAAAAUGUAGAUAAUGGUGACUGGUUAACCAUUUAGUAAAAAUUACUAUAAUUUAAAUCUCCUAAAGUAAAAGUAUUUAAAAUACUAUAAUAACUAAAUACAUUAUUCCUUGAUUGAUGCGAUUAAAAAUGUUCAAUGAAAAGCUUAUACAACUGAAUUUUCUUAUCAUGCAAAACCUUUGACAUAUUUUUCUUUCUUUAAUUUUACCUCUUUUUACAGAAAAUAAAUUCCUUAAGUUUCUUAGAGUGAAUGCUGAAAACCGCACUGACUUCAGAACUGCCUGCAGAAUGUGAAUAUUUAAAAAAACACACCAAAAACGCCUUCAUACAGGCACUCAUAGAAAAAAGCGGAAAAAAGUAAACGUUUAACAACAUCAUACAUUUUGUAACUUUCAAAUCUUGCUGAGAAGUGAAAUGAACACCACACAGAAAAUGGAGACUGAUGCUGAUGCUAAGGUUGCGAACACCAAGGAGUCGACGGUCAGCGGGGGAAAAGAGUUGCUAUCGUCGGAACUUAACAAGCAAAGUGAUCCUCAGUCUAACGAACGCAUUGAACUUCAAAAGGAGGAGAUAGCUCAAAAAAUUUUAAUCCAACCUAACGGCUCUGCAAGCUGCGGCGUGAAGCUGGAAGAAAAUAACAAGAAUGUUCAAGCUUGCGCUAUUAUGUGAUCUUCUUAAUUUUUAUCAUGGAACAUGGAAAUCUGCAUUCUCCCUUCUUCCUGGCUAAAACUGAAUCUUUGCCUAAUAAUGUACCUUUCAACAGGCUAGUCUUUAUAUUUCCAGCUUAACUUGAUUUAUCUGUAUACAAAACAUACUUCAUAAUAUUAUAAAGUAACUCAAUAAAAUGAAUUUUAAUACAUAUAAAAUAAUUUAUAGAUGUA